ACGCUGGCGGCGUGCUUAAUACAUGCAAGUCGAACGAUGAAAGCUGGAGCUUGCUCCGGCUGGAUUAGUGGCGAACGGGUGAGUAACACGUGAGUAACCUGCCCCUCACUCUGGGAUAACCUCGGGAAACCGAAGCUAAUACCGGAUACCGACCCUCGGAGGCAUCUCCAGGGGGUGGAAAGAAUUUCGGUGAGGGAUGGACUCGCGGCCUAUCAGGUAGUUGGUGAGGUAACGGCUCACCAAGCCGACGACGGGUAGCCGGCCUGAGAGGGUGACCGGCCACACUGGGACUGAGACACGGCCCAGACUCCUACGGGAGGCAGCAGUAGGGGAUAUUGCACAAUGGGCGCAAGCCUGAUGCAGCAACGCCGCGUGAGGGACGACGGCCUUCGGGUUGUAAACUGCUUUUAUCUGGGGAUAAAAAGCCCAUGCGUGGGACAUUGAAGGUACCAGAUGAAUAAGCACCGGCUAACUACGUG
This 479-nucleotide ribosomal RNA is filed under the name uncultured bacterium. RNAcentral describes it as "bacterial SSU rRNA". It matches the Rfam family "Bacterial small subunit ribosomal RNA", at positions 33 to 507 of the family's 1533-position model. The record is from RNAcentral.